This 206-nucleotide ribosomal RNA is filed under the name uncultured bacterium. Its description in RNAcentral is "partial 16S ribosomal RNA". It matches the Rfam family "Bacterial small subunit ribosomal RNA", at positions 1295 to 1500 of the family's 1533-position model. The record is from RNAcentral.
GGACUGCAGGCUGCAACUCGCCUGCACGAAGUUGGAAUUGCUAGUAAUCGUGGAUCAGCAUGCCACGGUGAAUACGUUCCCGGGUCUUGUACACACCGCCCGUCACACCAUGGGAGCCGGUAAUACCCGAAGUCAGUAGUCUAACCGCAAGGAGGACGCUGCCGAAGGUAGGAUUGGCGACUGGGGUGAAGUCGUAACAAGGUACC